GUACCAUAACCGACACAGGUGGGUAGGUAGAGUAUACUAAGGGGCGCGAGAUAACUCUCUCUAAGGAACUCGGCAAAAUGACUCCGUAACUUCGGGAGAAGGAGUGCCUUAUUCUAUAAGGUUGCAAUAACAAGAUCCAAGCAACUGUUUAUCAAAAACACAGGUCUCCGCUAAGUCGUAAGACGAAGUAUGGGGGCUGACGCCUGCCCAGUGCCAGAAGGUUAAAGAAGUUGGUUAGUGUAAACGAAGCUGAUAACUGAAGCCCUGGUGAACGGCGGCCGUAACUAUAACGGUCCUAAGGUAGCGAAAUUCCUUGUCGGGUAAGUUCCGACCCGCACGAAAGGCGUAAUGAUUUGGAUACUGUCUCGGAGAGAGGCUCGGUGAAAUAGACUUGUCUGUGAAGAUGCGGACUACCUGCACCAGGACAGAAAGACCCUAUGAAGCUUUACUGUAACUUGAAAUUGGAAUUGGACUUUAUUCGCGCAGCAUAGGUGGGAGACAUUGAAGAUAUUCUUGCGGGAGUAUCGGAGUCAUUAGUGAGAUACCACUCUUGUAAUGUUAGAUUUCUAACUUUGAACCAUUAUCUGGUCAAAGGACAGUUUCAGGCGGGCAGUUUGACUGGGGCGGUCGCCUCCCAAAUGGUAACGGAGGCGUACAAAGGUUUCCUCUGAACGGGUAGAAAUCGUAUCUAGAGUGUAAAGGCAUAAGGAAGCUUGACUGUGAGACCUACAAGUCGAGCAGGGACGAAAGUCGGUCUUAGUGAUCUGACGGUACUGAGUGGAAAGGCCGUCACUCAACGGAUAAAAGUUACUCUAGGAUAACAGGCUGAUCUCCCCCAAGAGUUCACAUCGACGGGGAGGUUUGGCACCUCGAUGUCGGCUCAUCGCAUCCUGGGGCGGUAGUACGUCCCAAGGGUUGGGCUGUUCGCCCAUGAAAGCGGUACGCGAGCUGGGUUCAGAACGUCGUGAGACAGUUCGGUCCAUAUCCGGUGUAGGCGUUAGGAUAUUGAGAGGAGCCUUCUUUAGUACGAGAGGACCGAGAAGGACAUACCGCUGGUGUACCAGUUAUCGUGCCAACGGUAAACGCUGGGUAGCUAUGUAUGGAGUGGAUAACCGCUGAAAGCAUCUAAGUGGGAAGCCCACCUCAAGAUGAGUAUUCUCAUCACGUUAGUGAGUAAGGUCACGGUAAGACUAACCGUUUGAUAGGCAUUAAGUGUAAAUACAGUAAUGUAU
Molecule: ribosomal RNA, 1232 nt
Filed under: metagenome
Description: bacterial LSU rRNA
Rfam family: Bacterial large subunit ribosomal RNA
Source: RNAcentral